RNAcentral lists this ribosomal RNA (160 nucleotides) under uncultured bacterium. RNAcentral describes it as "partial 16S ribosomal RNA". It matches the Rfam family "Bacterial small subunit ribosomal RNA", at positions 1340 to 1500 of the family's 1533-position model. The record is from RNAcentral.
AAUGGCAGGUCAGCAUACUGCCGUGAAUACGUUCCCGGGCCUUGUACACACCGCCCGUCACACCAUGAGAGUUGGGAAUACCCGAAGCCUGUGAGCUAACAUUAUGAGGCAGCAGUCGAAGGUAGAAUCAAUGAUUGGGGUGAAGUCGUAACAAGGUAAC